UACGUAGGGGGCGAGCGUUGUCCGGAAUCAUUGGGCGUAAAGCGCGUGUAGGCGGCUUGGCAAGUCCGGUGUGAAAGCUCGAGGCUCAACCUCGAGUCUGCACUGGAAACUGCCUUGCUAGAGUCCGGAAGAGGAGACUGGAAUUCCUGGUGUAGCGGUGAAAUGCGCAGAUAUCAGGAAGAACACCGGUGGCGAAGGCGGGUCUCUGGGACGGUACUGACGCUGAGACGCGAAAGCGUGGGGAGCAGACAGG
RNAcentral lists this ribosomal RNA (253 nucleotides) under uncultured bacterium. Its description in RNAcentral is "partial 16S ribosomal RNA". It matches the Rfam family "Bacterial small subunit ribosomal RNA", at positions 524 to 776 of the family's 1533-position model. The record is from RNAcentral.